AGCGAACGCUGGCGGUAGGCCUAACACAUGCAAGUCGAACGGCAGCACAGUAAGAGCUUGCUCUUACGGGUGGCGAGUGGCGGACGGGUGAGGAAUACAUCGGAAUCUACUUUUUCGUGGGGGAUAACGUAGGGAAACUUACGCUAAUACCGCAUACGACCUACGGGUGAAAGCAGGGGAUCUUCGGACCUUGCGCGAUUGAAUGAGCCGAUGUCGGAUUAGCUAGUUGGCGGGGUAAAGGCCCACCAAGGCGACGAUCCGUAGCUGGUCUGAGAGGAUGAUCAGCCACACUGGAACUGAGACACGGUCCAGACUCCUACGGGAGGCAGCAGUGGGGAAUAUUGGACAAUGGGCGCAAGCCUGAUCCAGCCAUACCGCGUGGGUGAAGAAGGCCUUCGGGUUGUAAAGCCCUUUUGUUGGGAAAGAAGAGCAGCAGGUUAAUACCCCGCUGUUCUGACGGUACCCAAAGAAUAAGCACCGGCUAACUUCGUG
RNAcentral lists this ribosomal RNA (492 nucleotides) under uncultured bacterium. Its description in RNAcentral is "partial 16S ribosomal RNA". It matches the Rfam family "Bacterial small subunit ribosomal RNA", at positions 29 to 507 of the family's 1533-position model. The record is from RNAcentral.